This 426-nucleotide ribosomal RNA is filed under the name uncultured Lysobacteraceae bacterium. Its description in RNAcentral is "bacterial SSU rRNA". It matches the Rfam family "Bacterial small subunit ribosomal RNA", at positions 356 to 774 of the family's 1533-position model. Lineage: Bacteria; Pseudomonadati; Pseudomonadota; Gammaproteobacteria; Lysobacterales; Lysobacteraceae. The record is from RNAcentral.
GGGGAAUAUUGGACAAUGGGCGCAAGCCUGAUCCAGCCAUGCCGCGUGGGUGAAGAAGGCCUUCGGGUUGUAAAGCCCUUUUGUUGGGAAAGAAAAGCAGCCGGCCAAUACCCGGUUGUUCUGACGGUACCCAAAGAAUAAGCACCGGCUAACUUCGUGCCAGCAGCCGCGGUAAUACGAAGGGUGCAAGCGUUACUCGGAAUUACUGGGCGUAAAGCGUGCGUAGGUGGUGGUUUAAGUCCGUUGUGAAAGCCCUGGGCUCAACCUGGGAACUGCAGUGGAUACUGGAUCACUAGAGUGUGGCAGAGGGUAGUGGAAUUCCGAGUGUAGAGGUGAAAUUCGUAGAUAUUCGGAAGAACACCAGUGGCGAAGGCGGCUCACUGGCUCGGUACUGACGCUGAGGUGCGAAAGCGUGGGGAGCAAACA